Corvus hawaiiensis (hawaiian crow) is the source of this 3566-nucleotide long non-coding RNA. RefSeq lists it as uncharacterized. The record is from RefSeq and is a predicted model, not a curated record. NCBI's taxonomy places the organism in Eukaryota, Metazoa, Chordata, Aves, Passeriformes, Corvidae. The transcript has 3 exons.
UGCCAGGGCCUCACCACCCUGACGAGGAAGAAUUUCUUUCUAAUAGCUAAUCUAAAUCUACCCUCUUUCAGCUUAAAACCACUACCACUCAUCCUAUCACUACAAUUCCUAAUACCUUGAACAUCUAUAUCCCCUCUAAGGAUCUAGAGGCAGUUUUGCAAUCAACAGAAAAAGUUUCAGGAGAAUGGUAUUUUUACCCAUUAGGUGACUUCAGUGCUCAACAUCCAUUGAUUUCAACACAGAAGAAGUUUUUAAACUUAAAUAAAGUUUUAUUUUCCUGAUUAGCUCCUAUGAACACAGCUUCUGGGUGCCCAGUCUCUCACAAAAAAUCAAAGGAAUCCUGCAUGCAAAGCAAAAGCACAGUUGUCACUUUAGUUUACUCAUGCUUGUCCCAGAAAAUGAAAAGAGGCUCUUUCUAACUUUGUUUUUUUUUAAUGCACUCGUGCAAUACAGUUGUGUUUGGAGUUAAACUUCUUAUUGUCAUGUUGGAAACCCAAACUGUGAAUGCAAAUCUCCUGAUGGCUUAGUACCAGACCUCUGAGUCUCAUUGCAGAGACGUCUUUGAAAAUUUGGCCUCAUUUUGUAGUGACAAAGUGACAGAUUCCUCUUGUAAGGAAAUUCUGGUGAGCAGAGUGCCUGGAGGUUUGGCUAAUUUGCUAGGAUUACAAUUUGGGUUUUAAUGACAGUAGCUUAGUUUUCCCUCAAACCAGCCAUCAAAAUAGAGCCCUGCUUUUGGAGAAAACCAAAUCCAUAAAAAUACAAAAGUAGGGUUAUCCCACCUGACUGAUGUUCCAAAUCUCCCAGCUAAGCCUGUGUUCCCCUUGUCACAUUUCCUCUGCUAGAACCUGGGACUGGUUUUUAAUGUUCUUGCAUUGCUUUGAGCAGCCAGGAUUCUUGGGAAACUCCCUUUCACCCUGUUUAUUUCAGCAAUUAAUUGCGAUUUCUCUCCCACGCUGAUCCCAAGCAUAUACCUUAUCUUAUCCUUUUAAGCUCUCCUUUAAGGACCUAGUGGGAUGGGUGGGGUGGUUCCCCUUCUCCCAUCCUGAACUUGCGUUGCUCUGCCACACAAAAGGGAAGCCUUGAGCCACAAUCAAGUCCACCAAUUCCUUCACUUGUUCAAAGACACCUUUUUGUGAUAGAAAUUCUCCUCAAGCCCUUGCCAAUUAAGCUCAGUUUAAUAACUCUGACCAUUUAUGUGACAUAUUUCAUCUUGGAAGAGCUAAUAAAACCACAAAUUACUGUUCACAGUGCUCCCAAGAGGCAGAUCAUCAUCAUCACAUUCUCACUCCUUUGAUAGGGAAACUGAGGCAAUUUGGUUUUUAGGACAACAGAGUGGAGUCUUUGCCAAACUACCCAGGUGAGUUCAGUGCUGUGCAGUCUCCCAUGUGGGACAAAAGUCUUCUUCUGCUGGGUAUAAUGGGAGAAUCUCCUGUUUUUCAGGAAGAUGCAAAGGUGAAAAGGGGGAGCCAGGCUGUGCAAAUGAUGUCUGUGUAUCUUCCAAUUCUCUGCUGGGCAUUUGAACUUAAAAUGCCAGCAACACUCUUCUCCCUUGUUCUCAAGAGGAAAGCUAUAUCUGGAGUAGGGCAGCAUGCCUUAAUUUGAGAAAUUUAAUGCCUUCGAAACACUACCAAAGCACAAUUAGCAAAUAAAAAAACCCCCAGAAGUCAAGGCAGGAGACCUGAGUAUGCAGUUCAAACAUCAAAGGAAUAUUACCUGUGCUUUCAUCUCCCUUUCCUCUUGUGAGUCAAAGUUACAACAUAUUACUGCAUAUUCUAAGCAUUUUCUAUUCUGAAAGCUUAAAUGCCAGUGUAAUUACCCCAAUGGUAAUUUCUGUUGUGCUCUUCCAGGCUGGUACUUCAGCAGAGUCUCCCAGUUUUCACUUGAUUAUCUCCAUCUCUGCCUUUGAUAGGUUUGUCUUCAAUUCACUCUGGAUUUGAACUGGUCCACAUUCCCUGAAAUCUGCUUUGAAUGCUGUCAAACGAGAAUGAACUUUGCAGUUGAGGAUUAUUGACAAAUCUGCUUGAAAAAGAUGCGUGAAGAACAUCCUUUAUGGUCCAUCUUGUGGUAAAACCUCUUUCAGGUUUACCUGUCGGAUUUUUUCCCCCGUGUUCUCCAUUUUUCGACAAGACCCUCCAAAAGAGUUGCUGUUUUUCUUGUGUAGGCUUGACAUGGACAUAAACUUUUUUGCAAGAAGCCUGAGCUACUGCUAGCAGCUCCUGAAGAGCUCCAAGUCCGACGUGGGUUUAAUUUGUGGUGAGUGCCAUGGCAGAACUGUCUAACAAUAUAAGUCUGUUGGACAUGUCGUCUGGGCUGUCACGUUCAAUUUGCACAUGACCUCCUAGCCAAAAAAUGGGAAAGAAGUGGUAGAAUGUGGGACUGAAAGCUUAUAUUAUUGCUUUGACAGCUUCACUCAUCUAGAAGUAAUGCAAAAUGCAAUUUAUAUUUAUACUCUCUGACCUUCUGUACAGAGAGUGAAACUAUCUAAUGAUGGGCCAUGGUAGCAGAGAAAGAAACAGAUCUCAAUACAGCUGGAAUUUGUCUACAUUUUUUGCUUUUCAACCAUUCAAUUACAGUCAAAAGAUAAAUGAAACAUGAAGAGUGCCUUGGUUAGGUAGUGACACAAUUAUUUUAUAGUGAGUAGGUUCUGGCUUUGAGCCUUGGCAAAGGUUGCCAUGCACGCCUUGUUUCACUAGAUACAGAUAAUCUGCCUGCUCCCACCGGACAAAUCCCCUCUGCUUGGAGGUGUGUCCUUCUGCCCAUCACAGGAGGAGAAGAAAGACACCAGCAACUCAGUACCACUCUUCCCCUGCAUUUCAAUAUCCUCCAGAAAGGCUGAUGCUCUAAUCCUAUUAACCACGAUAAAUCAAGUCAGGCCCAAUUGUAAACGGGACGUGAAGCAUUUCUGUGGAAAAUAGGCAGAAAGGAAGAAUGUGCCACAUUCUUCUCAUCUGAGGAGCAGCACAUGGGUUUGUGUCCUCCCAGGGAAAAGAAAUAAAUCCAUCAGCCUUUGAUUCUGACAGGAUCCACCAGGUAACACCUGAAGAUCCUUAACAACACAUCUCAGAGCUGAUAUCGUACUGCCACAGCUCAGCAUCCUUCAGAGGGGUUGACUGCAGCCACGACUGUUCAGAGCAGCACAAUUUGGCUCAAAAAUUCAGCCUCCAGCUGCACCUGUUUCUCCCUUCUCAUCCAAACAAGACACAGGAUUUUCAGGGAAAGUUACUUGCAGGAACAAGCAUUAAGGGAAGAUAGCAAACACAGAAAACAGAAGUGUGGGAUUUAUGCAUCUCAGUGUAUUUUGGACAGCUGCAUCAGUUUGAACUCAUCUCUUCACUCCAUUGAUCCAUCCUGCUUUAAAUAGGAGUCGAUCCAAAGUCCACUGACCUUAGUAGUGAGAGUUUCAUAAAUGGUUGGCAGCUGUGAAACAGGUUUAGAAAUUAGGUGUUCAUAUAAACCAGUCACUCCUUUUCUUUUCUGUUAUAAUUGUUUUGUUCUGGUUUGCCAUGUUUUGCUCUUGUACAGUGAACUAAUAAAAAAAAAUAUCAUUGGAUGAAGAUUUCAGCUGA